AUUUGGAUUGGUCUCAAAACCGAGGGAGCCUCGUGGAUUUGUUUACAUUGAAUAGGCAGGCUAGGGGCCAGAACCAUGGGGCCCUCUAUUCAUUAUUAUACAGUGAGGAUUUCGGUCUAAAUUACUGCUGUUCAAUCCGCACUGCACGCUUUGAAAGGGCGUCUCAGGCGACCAGCAGAAACGUGACACCAAGGGUACGUGUGCAGAGAAGAGGGCUCCUUACACGAGAUAACCCUCAAAAUGAAAAAAAGAUAUAAUAUAUAUAUAAAAGGAGAGUCAAAAGGCAUUUCAGAAAUGCUCCCAGAAAUCACCGUGCGGCGAUAAAAAAAACACUCCUCUCUGAUAUAUGAUGUGUUUAUUAUUUAUUUGCUUAUUAUAAAAGGUCCCCAAGUUCCCUGCUGGGGGAGUUCAUUUAUUUUGUAUGCAAAAAAAGAAAGAAAGGGGGGAGAGGGAAAAAAUCAUCCCCAAGUAUAACAAGAGACGAACAGUUAGUGCUGAUUUACAUUUGCAUAAAUUUUCAUAUAUUUUAGUGAAAAUAAUAGCGGGAGCCGAGGAGUGCUCCUGCUCAGUUGAGGCAGAGGAAAGAAAAUCUUAGGGAGCACCGAGUCGUAUAAGGGAGAUAACCAUUUACAGACUCCAUAUGAACAAUGUGAAGCUAUUUCCCUCUUCUUGGACACAAGGAGAGCCACAGUCCCCUGGCAACACACACACACACACACACACACACACACACACACACACACCAAACUUUGGUUUUCCUAUGACACCCCUUGUUGUCCCCCAUCCUCCCCCUGAUGCACAACCUCUGGAGGUAAGGGCCUUAGCUUGUGUGCGUGAGUGUGUGUGCUUGCACGGUAUCUUUCCCCCAGCAAAAGCGGACACGCCGUCUCCCCAGCUUCCGUUUUCCUCUGCACGCCCGCUGCUGGAGUAUUCACGCUUCAGGCUGUUUUCUUUGAGAGAGAGAAAGAGAGAGAGAGAGAGAGAGAGAGACGGAGUAUAAAAAUAUGCAAAUGCUAUUGUUGAAGCACAGAAUGAUGGGGGUGGGGGUGGUGGUGGUGGUUGGUGCUCCUUUUACACCCCCUCACCUCCCUUCUGCCGCUGCUGCCACCGUUGCCGCUUCCGCCUCCAUCCAUCCAUCCACCAGAGAGAGAGAGAGGGGCACAUCAAGAGAGAGAGAGAGAGAGAAUGAUCUACACACAUUAAAAAAAAGAGGGGAAGCCCGAGCUGUGGACAGCAGUGGAAAUGAGCUCAGCCGUGCAGUAAGUGUGGCGACCUCGUGGCUAACCCCACACUGUUUCCACCACUCUCCCCACUAAAUGAUGCCUACUGUAUCCUGCGCAGGAGGAGGAGGAGAAGAAAGAGGAGGAGGAUGGAGCCUAAACUCUGCCCAGCCCCCUCUACAAGGGACAUUUUGACUGCUCAUUUGUGACAGUGUUGGUUUGUGCCAGUAGUGUUAACUUGUAGCAAAUUUAAGCGUUAAUAGAUGAGUGAUGGGUGCCUACAUGAACACAAAGAUUUCUGCCAAAGUUAAAACAGUUCUGGUUAUUUCACAUGAGAGAUUUCUGUAUUUCUUUAUUUUUCUCUGCGCUCUUCUCACAGGUUUGGAGUGGGCGGGGCUCAUGUGGGAAAAGGUGAUGUCACAUACUUGCGUGCACCAAUCAGGAUGCAGCAACAUUUGAAUCAGAAUCUGAUGACAGUUGGUGGGUUGUUUGGUCCCUGUCAAUGAAACCUGAUCAAGCAACAGUCCCGAUGAAGCAGAUUAACUAACUUUUUGAGUGUUAACCUCUUAACUGAACACCGAAAUAUGUUUUUAAACUUUUGCUUAUUUAACCAUGAAUAUCAGUGUUAUAGAGAAAUACUUAAGAUGAAUAUGAAAUAUAUUGUUUUUGAGCAUGGAAAUUCACUCUCGACCUUUGGGAACAUUAUGUGUAACAAAAUAAUCAAGAUCAAAGGUCCACUUUUCAGAGCUUUCAACAGUAUCUCAUGGUCUUCCUCAGAGAACAGAGCUGGCUCAGGUGCCAUCACAUGACCUGAUUUCCAGACCAUCCUUGAACCCAGGGAGGAGUUAUAGUCUCUCCCCUAUUUAUGACCACCUGCUAUAAUGUGACCAAUGUUUAUACUUACAGCAGGUCAUGUGACACCUGGGAUAACGCUCAUUUGCUGAAGAAGACCGGUUUAAAGUAAAAAAAAGUGGACCUUAAUUUUAUGUAUAUAUAUUGUUUGGCUGUUAAUUAAAUUGAAUGAAAUAUUAAAACCUAAGAUGUUCUCUUUCUUAUCAUGGUACAUUACAUUAAAUGGAAAAUAUUCUCCUUGUCUUUUACAUUAAACAUCCCAAAAUCCAGCCUGA
Molecule: long non-coding RNA, 2347 nt
Organism: Siniperca chuatsi (mandarin fish)
Lineage: Eukaryota; Metazoa; Chordata; Actinopteri; Centrarchiformes; Sinipercidae
Exons: 3
Source: RefSeq, a predicted model, not a curated record